This 494-nucleotide ribosomal RNA is filed under the name uncultured bacterium. RNAcentral's name for it is "partial 16S ribosomal RNA". It matches the Rfam family "Bacterial small subunit ribosomal RNA", at positions 28 to 507 of the family's 1533-position model. The record is from RNAcentral.
GACGAACGCUGGCGGCGUGCUUAACACAUGCAAGUCGAACGGAAAGGCCUGCUUUCCCUUGUGGAUUGCGGGUACUCGAGUGGCGAACGGGUGAGUAACACGUGAGUGAUCUGCCCCCAACUUGGGUAUAAGCCUGGGAAACUGGGUCUAAUUCCCGAUAGGACUGCAGGGUGGUGCCCGUGGUGGAAAACGAUUUUCUAGUGGUUGGGGAUGAGCUCGCGGCCUAUCAGCUUGUUGGUGGGGUAAUGGCCUACCAAGGCGGCGACGGGUAGCCGGCCUGGGAGGGUGGACGGCCACAUUGGGACUGGGAUACGGCCCAGACUCCUACGGGAGGCAGCAGUGGGGAAUAGUGCACAAUGGGCGGAAGCCUGAUGCAGCGACGCCGCGUGGGGGAUGACGGCCUUCGGGUUGUAAACUCCUUUCGACCGCGAGGAAGCCACCUGGUUGGAAGGGUGGUGACGGUAGUGGUAGAAGAAGCACCGGCUAACUACGUG